This 253-nucleotide ribosomal RNA is filed under the name uncultured bacterium. Its description in RNAcentral is "partial 16S ribosomal RNA". It matches the Rfam family "Bacterial small subunit ribosomal RNA", at positions 524 to 776 of the family's 1533-position model. The record is from RNAcentral.
UACAGAGGGGGCAAGCGUUGUUCGGAAUUACUGGGCGUAAAGGGCGCGUAGGCGGCCUAUUAAGUCGAACGUGAAAUCCCUGGGCUCAACCCAGGAACUGCGUCCGAUACUGGAAGGCUUGAAUCCGGGAGAGGGAUGCGGAAUUCCAGGUGUAGCGGUGAAAUGCGUAGAUAUCUGGAGGAACACCGGUGGCGAAGGCGGCAUCCUGGACCGGUAUUGACGCUGAGGCGCGAAAGCCAGGGGAGCAAACGGG